GAUUUCCAUGGAUGGCUGACAGAAUAAUGAUGCUGGCAACAAGAUGAAAAUUAUAAAUAGCAGAUCUGAGGAGUAAAGAAGAUUAGUUUAGCUUUACAUAUGUUGCAUUUAUGUUGCCUGCAGAACAUGUUUUAAAAAUAGCCAUAUAGAAAUUUUGGUCUGGAAUUUGGAAGUGGUCAGAUUUUUAGAGAUAUAGAGCCUCAGUGUUUUUUCCAUAGGUGAGUGAUUAUGGUAUAGUAUAUGCUAUGGCUAGAAUGACACAGGAGUAAACAAGUAUAUUGUUUGAAGGAUUCUCACACUAUAUGUGUGUGAACUUUAAGUGAU
Molecule: long non-coding RNA, 324 nt
Filed under: Bos taurus (domestic cattle)
Lineage: Eukaryota; Metazoa; Chordata; Mammalia; Artiodactyla; Bovidae
Description: long non-coding RNA NONBTAT017691
Source: RNAcentral